GCAUUGGUGGUAUAGUGGAACAUAGCUGCCUUCUAAACAGCUGGCCCGGGUUUGAUUUCCAGCCUAUGCA
RNAcentral lists this transfer RNA (70 nucleotides) under Xenopus tropicalis (tropical clawed frog). Its description in RNAcentral is "Xenopus (Silurana) tropicalis (western clawed frog) tRNA". It matches the Rfam family "tRNA". From Rfam's summary of the family: Transfer RNA (tRNA) molecules are approximately 80 nucleotides in length. Their secondary structure includes four short double-helical elements and three loops (D, anti-codon, and T loops). Lineage: Eukaryota; Metazoa; Chordata; Amphibia; Anura; Pipidae. The record is from Rfam by way of RNAcentral.